Molecule: ribosomal RNA, 492 nt
Filed under: uncultured bacterium
Lineage: Bacteria
Description: partial 16S ribosomal RNA
Rfam family: Bacterial small subunit ribosomal RNA
Source: RNAcentral
AGUGAACGCUGGCGGUAGGCCUAACACAUGCAAGUCGAACGGCAGCACAGUAAGAGCUUGCUCUUACGGGUGGCGAGUGGCGGACGGGUGAGGAAUACAUCGGAAUCUACUUUUUCGUGGGGGAUAACGUAGGGAAACUUACGCUAAUACCGCAUACGACCUACGGGUGAAAGCAGGGGAUCUUCGGACCUUGCGCGAUUGAAUGAGCCGAUGUCGGAUUAGCUAGUUGGCGGGGUAAAGGCCCACCAAGGCGACGAUCCGUAGCUGGUCUGAGAGGAUGAUCAGCCACACUGGAACUGAGACACGGUCCAGACUCCUACGGGAGGCAGCAGUGGGGAAUAUUGGACAAUGGGCGCGAGCCUGAUCCAGCCAUACCGCGUGGGUGAAGAAGGCCUUCGGGUUGUAAAGCCCUUUUGUUGGGAAAGAAAAGCAGCAGGUUAAUAUCCCGCUGUUCUGACGGUACCCAAAGAAUAAGCACCGGCUAACUUCGUG